GAAGACGAAGGAAAAGCACUGACGUCGACUCCGUCGUUGUUCUUCAAUGCUGCGCCUUUAAUUUUCACAGCAUUCCAGUCAAUUUAGAACUUUGGCGAGCGAAAGAGACCGAGUUCAACUUUACCUUUGAGGAAUCACUUCUUUUUGGUCUCUUUAACCUGCUGUUAGCAGAGGCUAUGGAGUCCUACCAAGCAGUUCCGGCAACCUUCGGCUCAGCUGCCGCCGCUGCCGCUGCCAACGGGGCCGGACCAAAGCCGAUCGCCGGCCCUGUCCUUGAGAGCACCAAUAGCUUCAGUGAUGAAUUUAACCCUGAGGAUUUCAUUGGUUUUCUUGAAGUCUUUGUCCACCAAGCUCGUGACAUCCACAACAUCUGCAUCUACCACAAGCAAGAUGUUUUCGCUAAGCUUUGCCUUACCAACAACCCUGAUGUUACUGUCUCGACGCAGACAAUCAACGGCGGAGGUAGGAACCCGGUCUUCAACCAGAACCUCCGACUCAACGUGAAGAACAUCAACUGUUCGAUGAAAUGCGAGAUAUGGAUGCUAAGCAAGGCCAAGAAUUAUCUUGAAGACCAGUUGCUUGGAUUUGCGCUGGUCCCCCUUUCAGAUGUCCUCAUGGCCAACGGAAAGCUGGUGAAGGAGUACUCCCUAUCUUCAACUGAUCUUUUCCAUUCGCCCGCCGGGUUUGUUCAGCUGUCAAUCUCUUAUGUCGGAGCUUCUCCCGAAGUGAUGACAAUUCCAUCACUUCCAAAAUCGCUGAUCGUCGACACUACCUUACCUGAUGCAGAACCUGAUAACUCAAUUCCCUGUGAUUACGAGAAAAUUGAGUUUCCUGACUUGAAAGCCGACAAGGAGAAUCAGCUAAUGGUUUCUGAAUAUUAUGGGAUUCCAUGUACGGACAUGGAAACUCAGAGUUCAGAUAGCUUUGUUACUGCAGAGAAUGAUAAUUGCGCCGGUGAGGAAGCAGGGAUGCGCAUAGUGGAGAGCUUCUCCACCGCCAAUAGUCAUGAUUCCAUUGGAAAUCUUAAACGUGAUACUGCAGCAAGCAGUUUCUCGACCACUGAAUCGACUGUGGUGCUCCCAGCUUCCUCUGAUCCAUUGUCAUCCACAGCAUCGCCGAGGCCAAAUGUCAAAAGUCUCGAAUCUAUGGAAGCUGAGGUCGAUUCUUCUAGAGCAGCAUCAGAUGAUGCAUUCUUCAAGCCUAUUAUCAAGAUAGACGUUCCAGAGCAACCAGUUGUUCAGCAGGACUUUGUUGAUAUGUACAUGAAAAGUAUGCAGCAGUUUACAGAGUCAUUGGCCAAGCUGAAACUUCCUAUGGACAUUGAUAAUAGUAGCACAGCUUCCGAAAAUGGUAACUCAGGUCCGACUCAAGAGAAUGGUAGCUCAGGAUCUGAGAAGACGAUGCCGACUCCAAAGAGCAAUGGUUCCAGAGUUUUUUAUGGAAGCAGGGCAUUCUUCUGAUCUUAUGGAGUGAAGUUCUAUGGUUAACUCAAGAGCUCGUACUUUAACUGGCUGGAACCCCGUGCUGCAUUGCUGAUCUUGUAUUGAGGCCAACCCCUUGAACAAACGCUAAAUAAUUCUGUUAGAUUUUAUCUCGCUAUUUGGUAGGCUUGUAUGUUGUUUUGUAACACGGUUUUAUGUCAUUACGAAUGAAUUUGUAAUCCAUUAAUUACGGGUUUAUGUUAUUGAACUUGAGUUUAUAUAA
Molecule: RNA transcript, 1704 nt
Organism: Zingiber officinale
Lineage: Eukaryota; Viridiplantae; Streptophyta; Magnoliopsida; Zingiberales; Zingiberaceae
Exons: 3
Source: RefSeq, a predicted model, not a curated record